This 538-nucleotide long non-coding RNA is filed under the name Homo sapiens (human). RNAcentral's name for it is "HSALNT0329573". The record is from RNAcentral. Lineage: Eukaryota; Metazoa; Chordata; Mammalia; Primates; Hominidae.
AUGAGCGUGUGAGGUCUUCCCGUGUUGUGUGUGAACAACUGCAAGGAUGAAGCUGCCGCUCGCUGAGCUGGGGCAGCCUGUGCUUGAUUGUGUCCCAUUCAGAACACAGCUGACAACCUACGACGCAGCCUGCAGCCCAACACAGCUGCCCUCCCAGAUGCCCAUACUGAGUUCCACCUCAUCUGGCCACUUCCUGUGCCCCCAACUGCACUCAGAUAUCUCAUGAGGUCACUGAUUAUCAACUCCACUCCGUGCAGCAACGCAUGUCUGCCCUUAUCUAGCCUCACCUACGAGGAACAUUGCUGCCGCUGACCACUGCUCCUCCUCCCUGGGCCUCUCUCAUGCCUGGACUCUGCACCCUGCCUCACCACCUUCCAGUGUCGCAGGAGUGCCCUGGCUCAUUUCUUGUCCCCUGUCUUCUCUCACCCCUUGGCCAUAUUGUUAGGUCAACAGGAGUGGAGGAGAGCCAGGGUGACACCAUUUUAAAAUCAACUCCAUCUUAAAACUAGCUAGGCAUAUUCCUUGCCAGUCACUACCC